CAGUAGCCGCGGUAAUACAGAGGGUGCAAGCGUUAAUCGGAUUUACUGGGCGUAAAGCGUGCGUAGGUGGCUGUUUAAGUCGGAUGUGAAAGCCCUGGGCUUAACCUGGGAACUGCAUUCGAUACUGGAUAGCUAGAGAUCGGUAGAGGGCAGCGGAAUUCCGGGUGUAGCGGUGAAAUGCGUAGAUAUCCGGAGGAACACCGAUGGCGAAGGCAACUGCCUGGGCCUGAUCUGACACUGAGGCACGAAAGCGUGGGUAGCAAACAGGAUUAGAUACCCCAGUAGUCCCUGUCUCUUAUAC
RNAcentral lists this ribosomal RNA (301 nucleotides) under uncultured bacterium. Its description in RNAcentral is "partial 16S ribosomal RNA". It matches the Rfam family "Bacterial small subunit ribosomal RNA", at positions 509 to 807 of the family's 1533-position model. The record is from RNAcentral.